GUGGGGAAUCUUCCGCAAUGGACGAAAGUCUGACGGAGCAACGCCGCGUGAGUGAUGAAGGUCUUCGGAUUGUAAAGCUCUGUUAAUCGGGACGAAAGAGCCUAGUGUGAAUAAUGCUAGGAAGUGACGGUACCGGAAUAGAAAGCCACGGCUAACUACGUGCCAGCAGCCGCGGUAAUACGUAGGUGGUAAGCGUUGUCCGGAAUUAUUGGGCGUAAAGCGCGCGCAGGCGGAUCUGCCAGUCUGUCUUAAAAGUUCGGGGCUUAACCCCGUGAUGGGAUGGAAACUACAGAUCUAGAGUAUCGGAGAGGAAAGUGGAAUUCCUAGUGUAGCGGUGAAAUGCGUAGAUAUUAGGAAGAACACCAGUGGCGAAGGCGACUUUCUGGACGAAAACUGACGCUGAGGCGCGAAAGCCAGGGGAGCGAACGGGAUUAGAUACCCCGGUAGUCC
This 450-nucleotide ribosomal RNA is filed under the name uncultured bacterium. Its description in RNAcentral is "partial 16S ribosomal RNA". It matches the Rfam family "Bacterial small subunit ribosomal RNA", at positions 354 to 796 of the family's 1533-position model. The record is from RNAcentral.